GUUAACAUAGUUUAAUAAAAACAUUAG
Molecule: transfer RNA, 27 nt
Filed under: Concinnia tigrina (yellow-blotched forest-skink)
Lineage: Eukaryota; Metazoa; Chordata; Lepidosauria; Squamata; Scincidae
Description: partial tRNA-His
Source: RNAcentral